RNAcentral lists this ribosomal RNA (1664 nucleotides) under Hassallia byssoidea CCALA 841. The stretch from base 1 to 1146 matches the Rfam family "Bacterial small subunit ribosomal RNA", at positions 374 to 1533 of the family's 1533-position model. The record is from RNAcentral. Lineage: Bacteria; Bacillati; Cyanobacteriota; Cyanophyceae; Nostocales; Tolypothrichaceae.
GGCGAAAGCCUGACGGAGCAAUACCGCGUGAGGGAGGAAGGCUCUUGGGUUGUAAACCUCUUUUCUCAAGGAAGAACACAAUGACGGUACUUGAGGAAUAAGCAUCGGCUAACUCCGUGCCAGCAGCCGCGGUAAUACGGAGGAUGCAAGCGUUAUCCGGAAUGAUUGGGCGUAAAGCGUCCGCAGGUGGCUGUGUAAGUCUGCUGUUAAAUAGUGAGGCUCAACCUCAUAAAGGCAGUGGAAACUACAUGGCUAGAGUGCGUUCGGGGCAGAGGGAAUUCCUGGUGUAGCGGUGAAAUGCGUAGAGAUCAGGAAGAACACCGGUGGCGAAAGCGCUCUGCUAGGCCGCAACUGACACUGAGGGACGAAAGCUAGGGGAGCGAAUGGGAUUAGAUACCCCAGUAGUCCUAGCCGUAAACGAUGGAUACUAGGCGUGGCUUGUAUCGACCCGAGCCGUGCCGUAGCUAACGCGUUAAGUAUCCCGCCUGGGGAGUACGCAGGCAACUGUGAAACUCAAAGGAAUUGACGGGGGCCCGCACAAGCGGUGGAGUAUGUGGUUUAAUUCGAUGCAACGCGAAGAACCUUACCAGGACUUGACAUGUCGCGAAUUGAGGUGAAAGCUUCAAGUGCCUUCGGGAGCGCGAACACAGGUGGUGCUUGGCUGUCGUCAGCUCGUGUCGUGAGAUGUUGGGUUAAGUCCCGCAACGAGCGCAACCCUCGUUUUUAGUUGCCAUCAUUAAGUUGGGCACUCUAGAGAGACUGCCGGUGACAAACCGGAGGAAGGUGGGGAUGACGUCAGGUCAGCAUGCCCCUUACGUUCUGGGCUACACACGUACUACAAUGCUACGGACAAAGGGCAGCUACACAGCGAUGUGAUGCUAAUCUCACAAACCGUAGCUCAGUUCAGAUCGCAGGCUGCAACUCGCCUGCGUGAAGGAGGAAUCGCUAGUAAUUGCAGGUCAGCAUACUGCAGUGAAUUCGUUCCCGGGCCUUGUACACACCGCCCGUCACACCAUGGAAGCUGGUAGUGCCCGAAGUCAUUACCCCAACGAUUCGUCGAGGGGGAUGCCUAAGGCAGGACUGGUGACUGGGGUGAAGUCGUAACAAGGUAGCCGUACCGGAAGGUGUGGCUGGAUCACCCCCUUUAAAGGAGACCUACCCGCUCAAAUAUUGAAAACAAUUUGUGAUUAAAUAUUGAGUUGGUCAUCCUAAAGGUCGGUCGCGACAAGAUUGUAACUUACUUUCAAACUAUAUUUUGGUUCGUAAUUGGGCUAUUAGCUCAGGUGGUUAGAGCGCACCCCUGGUAAGGGUGAGGUCCCUGGUUCGAGUCCAGGAUGGCCCACCUAAAAAAGUUAUUUGAGAAAAGUCAAAAGUCACUCAUAAUUCGUUAUUUUCCUUUUUUGCCUUUUGCCUAGUAACUUUUGAUGUUGGGGUAAAGCCAAUGUCUGGAUGUUAGCGAUGAAAAGUCCGUUAACCAACAGUAAUUAGAUAUGGAUUCUUCAGCAACUGAGCAACUUCAUUGCCAGCCUGCUGGAUAUAUAUCCAGUAAUUGAACCUUGAAAACUGCAUAGUGAAGCGAAUAUUAGCAGGCAGACACACAGACAGAAAUAGUCGAAUGUUUGCAGACAAUUGUUAUUUUGGUCAAGCGAAUAAGGGCUAACGGU